GUGCCCUCUUUGGCAGCACAUAUGCCAAAAUAGGAAGGAUACAUAAAAGAUUAGCACAGCCCCUGUGCCAGGAAGACAUGCAAAUCUGUGAAGUGUCUCAUGUUAAA
Small nuclear RNA from Callithrix jacchus (white-tufted-ear marmoset), 107 nucleotides. NCBI's taxonomy places the organism in Eukaryota, Metazoa, Chordata, Mammalia, Primates, Cebidae. The record is from Ensembl.